This 389-nucleotide RNase P RNA is filed under the name Deltaproteobacteria bacterium. RNAcentral's name for it is "RNase P RNA component class A". It matches the Rfam family "Bacterial RNase P class A". Rfam says of the family: Ribonuclease P (RNase P) is a ubiquitous endoribonuclease, found in archaea, bacteria and eukarya as well as chloroplasts and mitochondria. Its best characterised activity is the generation of mature 5'-ends of tRNAs by cleaving the 5'-leader elements of precursor-tRNAs. Lineage: Bacteria; Pseudomonadati; Myxococcota; Myxococcia. The record is from RNAcentral.
GCAGAGGGACAGGAGGCCGCGGGGGCGCUUGCGCCCACGAGGAAAGUCCGGGCUCCGCAGGGCAGGGUGGUCGGUAACGCCGACCGGGGGUGACCCCAGGGACAGUGCCACAGAAAACAGACCGCCUCGCAAGGCUCGUCUUUGCGCGGCAAGGGUGAAAACGUGAGGCAAGAGCUCACGGGUCACGGCGGUGACGUCGUGAUCGGCAAACCCCACCCGGAGCAAGAGAAACAGGGGGGGCCGGGGAAACCCGGCCGGGCGGCCCGUCCGGAAUCCUCCCGGGUCCUCGCUCGAGGGGCGUGGCAACAUGCUCUCCAGAUGAAUGGUCUCCGCCGCGUCGGAGGUGACUCCGGCGUGGAACAGAACCCGGCUUACGGCCCUCUGCCCCU